Molecule: unclassified non-coding RNA, 327 nt
Filed under: fungal sp.
Lineage: Eukaryota; Fungi
Description: partial internal transcribed spacer region
Rfam family: Eukaryotic small subunit ribosomal RNA (bases 1-46)
Source: RNAcentral
AAGUCGUAACAAGGUUUCCGUAGGUGAACCUGCGGAAGGAUCAUUCAUGCUAAAACGGCAGCAGCUAAGUGCAUAUAUGGCAACAUGUAUGUAUGAGGUUGUUGUUUGGUUUCUCUUUAUUUUUAUCCUAACACAUACGGUCUAUGUACAACCCUUUUUUUAAAUAACCAAACUUAAUCUACCUUUGAUCUUUUGGUGGUGUAAAAAGCCAUCAGGGGGGAUCUGGUUUACAUAUUGUUAGAUAAGUCCUAAUAUGGUGGAUUCCAUACAGGCAUGUGUAGAAAUACGAAACAUAUACAACUCUUUGCAAUGGAUAUCUUGGUUCUC